UCCGUAGGUGGAUAAUUAAGUCAGAGGUGAAAUCCUGCAGCUCAACUGUAGAAUUGCCUUUGAUACUGGUUAUCUUGAGUCAUUAUGAAGUGGUUAGAAUGUGUAGUGUAGCGGUGAAAUGCAUAGAUAUUACACAGAAUACCGAUUGCGAAGGCAGAUCACUAAUAAUGUACUGACACUGAGGGACGAGAGCGUGGGGAGCGAACAGGAUUAGAUACCCUGGUAGUCC
Molecule: ribosomal RNA, 229 nt
Filed under: uncultured bacterium
Lineage: Bacteria
Description: partial 16S ribosomal RNA
Rfam family: Bacterial small subunit ribosomal RNA
Source: RNAcentral